GCCGGGUGUGGUGACACACACCUGUGGUCCCAGCUACCCAGGAGGCUGAGGUGGGAGGAUCACCUGAGCCCAGGGGGUUGAGGCUGCAGUGAGCAGUGAUCAUGCCACUGCACUCCAGCCUGGGCAACAGAGUGAGACCCUGUCUCAA
This 148-nucleotide non-coding RNA is filed under the name Homo sapiens (human). The record is from Rfam by way of RNAcentral. Lineage: Eukaryota; Metazoa; Chordata; Mammalia; Primates; Hominidae.